This 495-nucleotide long non-coding RNA is filed under the name Capsella rubella. Its description in RNAcentral is "long non-coding RNA (CRUB_LNC004067)". Lineage: Eukaryota; Viridiplantae; Streptophyta; Magnoliopsida; Brassicales; Brassicaceae. The record is from RNAcentral.
CAGGCGUAACUAGGGCUGGAGAAGUCUUAGCUUGUCGGGUGGAUGUUACAGGAGACUCAUCAGAUAUCAAAUUAGUAGCUGAAGACCUAUCAGGUCGUGUUGAUGUUACAGGACGCUCAUCAGAUUUCAUUUUUGAUGUCUGAUUGAGUAUCAUAGGCAUAACUGGAGCUGGAGACGUCCUAGCUUGUCGUGUUGAUGUUACAUCAGACUCAUCAGAUGUCAAAAUAGUAGAAGUCCUAUCAGGUUGUGUUGAUGUUACAGGAGGCUCAUUAGAUUCCAUAUUUGAUAUCUGAUCGACUAUCUCAGGCAUAACUGGAGCUGGUAAAGUCCUAGGUUGUCGUGUAGAUGUUACACAAGACACAUCAGAUGCCAAAUUAGUAGAAGAAGUCCUAUCAGGUCGUGUUGAUGUUACAGGAGGCUCAUCAGUUGCCAUAUAAGUGUCCCGACCGAGUACCACAGGCAUCACUCUGACUGGAGUACUCCUAGUUCGUCGUG